This 2679-nucleotide ribosomal RNA is filed under the name Klebsiella pneumoniae. Its description in RNAcentral is "bacterial LSU rRNA". It matches the Rfam family "Bacterial large subunit ribosomal RNA". Lineage: Bacteria; Pseudomonadati; Pseudomonadota; Gammaproteobacteria; Enterobacterales; Enterobacteriaceae. The record is from RNAcentral.
CGGCGAUGUCCGAAUGGGGAAACCCAGUGCAAUUCGUUGCACUAUCGUUAACUGAAUACAUAGGUUAACGAGGCGAACCGGGGGAACUGAAACAUCUAAGUACCCCGAGGAAAAGAAAUCAACCGAGAUUCCCCCAGUAGCGGCGAGCGAACGGGGAGCAGCCCAGAGUCUGAAUCAGCUUGUGUGUUAGUGGAACGGUCUGGAAAGUCCGACGGUACAGGGUGAUAGUCCCGUACACCAAAAUGCACAGGCUGUGAACUCGAAGAGUAGGGCGGGACACGUGGUAUCCUGUCUGAAUAUGGGGGGACCAUCCUCCAAGGCUAAAUACUCCUGACUGACCGAUAGUGAACCAGUACCGUGAGGGAAAGGCGAAAAGAACCCCGGCGAGGGGAGUGAAAAAGAACCUGAAACCGUGUACGUACAAGCAGUGGGAGCACCUUCGGGUGUGACUGCGUACCUUUUGUAUAAUGGGUCAGCGACUUAUAUUCUGUAGCAAGGUUAACCGUAUAGGGGAGCCGCAGGGAAACCGAGUCUUAACUGGGCGUUAAGUUGCAGGGUAUAGACCCGAAACCCGGUGAUCUAGCCAUGGGCAGGUUGAAGGUUGGGUAACACUAACUGGAGGACCGAACCGACUAAUGUUGAAAAAUUAGCGGAUGACUUGUGGCUGGGGGUGAAAGGCCAAUCAAACCGGGAGAUAGCUGGUUCUCCCCGAAAGCUAUUUAGGUAGCGCCUCGUGAACUCAUCUUCGGGGGUAGAGCACUGUUUCGGCUAGGGGGUCAUCCCGACUUACCAACCCGAUGCAAACUACGAAUACCGAAGAAUGUUAUCACGGGAGACACACGGCGGGUGCUAACGUCCGUCGUGAAGAGGGAAACAACCCAGACCGCCAGCUAAGGUCCCAAAGUCAUGGUUAAGUGGGAAACGAUGUGGGAAGGCACAGACAGCCAGGAUGUUGGCUUAGAAGCAGCCAUCAUUUAAAGAAAGCGUAAUAGCUCACUGGUCGAGUCGGCCUGCGCGGAAGAUGUAACGGGGCUAAACCAUGCACCGAAGCUGCGGCAGCGACACUAUGUGUUGUUGGGUAGGGGAGCGUUCUGUAAGCCUGCGAAGGUGUGCUGUGAGGCAUGCUGGAGGUAUCAGAAGUGCGAAUGCUGACAUAAGUAACGAUAAAGCGGGUGAAAAGCCCGCUCGCCGGAAGACCAAGGGUUCCUGUCCAACGUUAAUCGGGGCAGGGUGAGUCGACCCCUAAGGCGAGGCCGAAAGGCGUAGUCGAUGGGAAACAGGUUAAUAUUCCUGUACUUGGUGUUACUGCGAAGGGGGGACGGAGAAGGCUAUGUUAGCCGGGCGACGGUUGUCCCGGUUUAAGCAUGUAGGCUGGUUAUCCAGGCAAAUCCGGAUAAUCAAGGCUGAGGUGUGAUGACGAGGCACUACGGUGCUGAAGUAACAAAUGCCCUGCUUCCAGGAAAAGCCUCUAAGCAUCAGGUAACAUCAAAUCGUACCCCAAACCGACACAGGUGGUCAGGUAGAGAAUACCAAGGCGCUUGAGAGAACUCGGGUGAAGGAACUAGGCAAAAUGGUGCCGUAACUUCGGGAGAAGGCACGCUGGUGUGUAGGUGAAGCCCCUGCGGGUGGAGCUGAGACCAGUCGAAGAUACCAGCUGGCUGCAACUGUUUAUUAAAAACACAGCACUGUGCAAACACGAAAGUGGACGUAUACGGUGUGACGCCUGCCCGGUGCCGGAAGGUUAAUUGAUGGGGUUAUCCGUAAGGAGAAGCUCUUGAUCGAAGCCCCGGUAAACGGCGGCCGUAACUAUAACGGUCCUAAGGUAGCGAAAUUCCUUGUCGGGUAAGUUCCGACCUGCACGAAUGGCGUAAUGAUGGCCAGGCUGUCUCCACCCGAGACUCAGUGAAAUUGAACUCGCUGUGAAGAUGCAGUGUACCCGCGGCAAGACGGAAAGACCCCGUGAACCUUUACUAUAGCUUGACACUGAACAUUGAGCCUUGAUGUGUAGGAUAGGUGGGAGGCUUUGAAGCGUGGACGCCAGUCUGCGUGGAGCCAACCUUGAAAUACCACCCUUUAAUGUUUGAUGUUCUAACGUUGGCCCCUGACCGGGGUUGCGGACAGUGUCUGGUGGGUAGUUUGACUGGGGCGGUCUCCUCCCAAAGCGUAACGGAGGAGCACGAAGGUUAGCUAAUCCUGGUCGGACAUCAGGAGGUUAGUGCAAUGGCAUAAGCUAGCUUGACUGCGAGCGUGACGGCGCGAGCAGGUGCGAAAGCAGGUCAUAGUGAUCCGGUGGUUCUGAAUGGAAGGGCCAUCGCUCAACGGAUAAAAGGUACUCCGGGGAUAACAGGCUGAUACCGCCCAAGAGUUCAUAUCGACGGCGGUGUUUGGCACCUCGAUGUCGGCUCAUCACAUCCUGGGGCUGAAGUAGGUCCCAAGGGUAUGGCUGUUCGCCAUUUAAAGUGGUACGCGAGCUGGGUUUAGAACGUCGUGAGACAGUUCGGUCCCUAUCUGCCGUGGGCGCUGGAGAAUUGAGGGGGGCUGCUCCUAGUACGAGAGGACCGGAGUGGACGCAUCACUGGUGUUCGGGUUGUCAUGCCAAUGGCACUGCCCGGUAGCUAAAUGCGGAAGAGAUAAGUGCUGAAAGCAUCUAAGCACGAAACUUGCCCCGAGAUGAGUUCU